This 1513-nucleotide ribosomal RNA is filed under the name metagenome. Its description in RNAcentral is "bacterial SSU rRNA". It matches the Rfam family "Bacterial small subunit ribosomal RNA". The record is from RNAcentral.
AGGGUCUGAUCCUGGCUCAGAACGAACGUUGGCGGCGUGGAUUAGGCAUGCAAGUCGAACGUGAAAGGUUCCUUCGGAGACCAAGUAAAGUGGCGAAAGGGUGAGUAAUGCAUAAAUAACUUACCUCUGAGAAGGGAAUAACUACUCGAAAGGGUAGCUAAUACCCUAUGAGACCACGGGCUGUAUAGUCUGUGCUUAAAGAUAGGGACUCGCAAGAGCCUUUCGCUCAGAGAGAGAUUUAUGUCCUAUUAGCUAGUUGGUGAGGUAGUUGCUCACCAAGGCAAUGAUGGGUAGCCGACCUGAGAGGGUGACCGGCCACACUGGGACUGAGACACUGCCCAGACUCCUACGGGAGGCUGCAGUCGAGAAUCUUCCGCAAUGCGCGCAAGCGUGACGGAGCGACGCCGCGUGGGUGAUGAAGGCCUUCGGGUCGUAAAGCCCUGUUACCUGGGAAGAAUGGCAAGUUGUUAAUAGCUGCUUGUUUGACGUUACCAGGAGAGGAAGCACCGGCUAAAUACGUGCCAGCAGCCGCGGUAAUACGUAUGGUGCGAACGUUGUUCGGAAUCACUGGGCAUAAAGAGCACGUAGGCGGUCAGGCAAGUCUGAUGUGAAAUCCCCCGGCUUAACCGAGGAACUGCAUUGGAUACUACCUGACUUGAGUACAGGAGGGGAGAGUGGAAUUCCAGGUGGAGCGGUGAAAUGCGUAGAUAUCUGGAGGAACGCCGGUGGCGAAAGCGACUCUCUGGUCUGUUACUGACGCUGAGGUGCGAAAGCUAGGGGAGCAAACGGGAUUAGAUACCCCGGUAGUCCUAGCCCUAAACGAUGGGCACUAAGUAGGGGGAAUCCUAUAUUCUCUCUGCCGGAGCUAAUGCAUUAAGUGCCCCGCCUGGGGAGUAUGGUCGCAAGGCUAAAACUCAAAGGAAUUGACGGGGGCUCACACAAGCGGUGGAGCAUGUUGUUCAAUUCGAACCAACGCGAAGAACCUUACCUGGGUUUGACAUGCUUGGGACAGCCCAUGAAAGUGGGUUUCCUCUAUGAGGCCCUUGCACAGGUGUUGCAUGGCUGUCGUCAGCUCGUGUCGUGAGAUGUCGGGUUAAGUCCCAUAACGAGCGAAACCCUUGUCCUUAGUUGCCAGCGGGUAAAGCCGGGGACUUUAAGGAGACUGCCGGUGUUGAACCGGAGGAAGGUGGGGAUGACGUCAAGUCAUCAUGGCCUUUAUACCCAGGGCUACAAACGUGCCACAAUGGCCGGUACAAAGGGAAGCGAAGCCGAAAGGUGGUGCCAAUCCCAGAAAGCCGGUCUCAGUUCGGAUUGGGGGCUGCAAUUCGCCCCCAUGAAGUUGGAAUCGCUAGUAAUCGCGGAUCAGCCACGCCGCGGUGAAUGUGCUCCUGAGCCUUGUACACACCGCCCGUCAAGCCACCUAAGCAGGGCUUACCCGAAAUCACUGACCCAACCGCAAGGAGGGAGGUGCUGAAGGUGAGCUUUGUGAGGGGGACUAAGUCGUAACAAGGUA